UCGGUGCAGAUAUGAGACCAACAAAAUGUUGCAAGACUAGCUACGCAAGUACCACAUCACUGUCCGUUGAGUCCUAUUUAUACUCUCUCCGAGCAUCACAUGUUGCCUCAGCAAGACACCACAGGAGUCUGCAUCAUGUGACACGACCAGAAACUUCCACUUCACAGGAGGAGCGGACUCUUGCCAGCCAGCUAGCGAGUGGCUGGUUGGCACUUCCUUUGGAGUCAAGCCAGCAACAUGUUAUACUCCAUGUACCUCGUCACAAGCAGGACCCCAAAGCAGAAGAACCAGAUGAGAUCUCUGUUUGUCAGUGUUGGUUCGGCACUCCUGGGUUCAAGUGGACAUCUUGCCUUAGCAUCCCAGCUACCUGCAGAUCUGGACAUAGAACUCUCAUCUACCUCUUCAGCACAUCUGCCUGCACAGCACCAUGCUUCCUGCCCUGAUGACUAUGGACUAAACCUCUGAACUGUAAA
This 473-nucleotide small RNA is filed under the name Rattus norvegicus (Norway rat). RNAcentral's name for it is "uncharacterized LOC102548193". Lineage: Eukaryota; Metazoa; Chordata; Mammalia; Rodentia; Muridae. The record is from RNAcentral.